RNAcentral lists this transfer RNA (74 nucleotides) under Candidatus Pacearchaeota archaeon. Its description in RNAcentral is "tRNA-Pro". It matches the Rfam family "tRNA". Rfam says of the family: Transfer RNA (tRNA) molecules are approximately 80 nucleotides in length. Their secondary structure includes four short double-helical elements and three loops (D, anti-codon, and T loops). The record is from RNAcentral. Lineage: Archaea; Nanobdellati.
GGGAGCAUGGGCCAGUCUGGUUAAGCUUUCAGGUUUGGGACCUGACGACCCCGGUUCAAAUCCGGGUGCUCCCA